UUUUGAUUUAUAACGAACCGGCUAACAAGGUUUAUACACAAGGUGUUAUCUCUGCAGUAUUAAAUAUUAUUUCAGUUGGUAUUAUUGGGACAAUAUUAUUA
RNAcentral lists this small RNA (101 nucleotides) under Staphylococcus aureus. RNAcentral's name for it is "3'UTR". Lineage: Bacteria; Bacillati; Bacillota; Bacilli; Caryophanales; Staphylococcaceae. The record is from RNAcentral.